RNAcentral lists this ribosomal RNA (426 nucleotides) under uncultured bacterium. Its description in RNAcentral is "bacterial SSU rRNA". It matches the Rfam family "Bacterial small subunit ribosomal RNA", at positions 355 to 773 of the family's 1533-position model. The record is from RNAcentral.
UAAGGAAUAUUGGACAAUGGGCGCAAGCCUGAUCCAGCAAUGCCGCGUGUGUGAAGAAGGCCUUCGGGUUGUAAAGCACUUUUAUCUGGAGCGAAAUCUGCAGGGCUAAUACCCAUGCAGUCUGACGGUACCAGAGGAAUAAGCACCGGCUAACUUCGUGCCAGCAGCCGCGGUAAUACGAAGGGUGCAAGCGUUACUCGGAAUUACUGGGCGUAAAGCGUGAGUAGGUGGUUUCUUAAGUCUGCUGUGAAAGCCCCGGGCUCAACCUGGGAAUUGCAUUCGAAACUGGCAGGCUUGAGUCUUGUAGAGGGGGGUAGAAUUCCAGGUGUAGCGGUGAAAUGCGUAGAGAUCGGGAGGAACACCAGUGGCGAAGGCGGCUACCUGGACCAGCACUGACACUGAGUCACGAAAGCGUGGGGGGCAAAC